GACGAACGCUGGCGGCGUGCCUAAUACAUGCAAGUUGAGCGCUGAAGGUUGGUACUUGUACCAACUGGAUGAGCAGCGAACGGGUGAGUAACGCGUGGGGAAUCUGCCUUUGAGCGGGGGACAACAUUUGGAAACGAAUGCUAAUACCGCAUAAAAACUUUAAACACAAGUUUUAAGUUUGAAAGAUGCAAUUGCAUCACUCAAAGAUGAUCCCGCGUUGUAUUAGCUAGUUGGUGAGGUAAAGGCUCACCAAGGCGAUGAUACAUAGCCGACCUGAGAGGGUGAGCGGCCACAUUGGGACUGAGACACGGCCCAAACGCCUACGGGAGGCAGCAGUAGGGAAUCUUCGGCAAUGGACGAAAGUCUGACCGAGCAACGCCGCGUGAGUGAAGAAGGGUGUCGGAUCGUAAAACUCGGUUGGUAGAGAAGAACGUUGGUGAGAGUGGAAAGCUCAUCAAGUGACGGUAACUACCCAGAAAGGGACGGCUAACUACGUG
RNAcentral lists this ribosomal RNA (497 nucleotides) under uncultured bacterium. RNAcentral describes it as "partial 16S ribosomal RNA". It matches the Rfam family "Bacterial small subunit ribosomal RNA", at positions 28 to 507 of the family's 1533-position model. The record is from RNAcentral.